GACGAACGCUGGCGGCGUGCCUAAUACAUGCAAGUUGAGCGCUGAAGGUUGGUACUUGUACCAACUGGAUGAGCAGCGAACGGGUGAGUAACGCGUGGGGAAUCUGCCUUUGAGCGGGGGGCAACAUUUGGAAACGAAUGCUAAUACCGCAUAAAAACUUUAAACACAAGUUUUAAGUUUGAAAGAUGCAAUUGCAUCACUCAAAGAUGAUCCCGCGUUGUAUUAGCUAGUUGGUGAGGUAAAGGCUCACCAAGGCGAUGAUACAUAGCCGACCUGAGAGGGUGAUCGGCCACAUUGGGACUGAGACACGGCCCAAACUCCUACGGGAGGCAGCAGUAGGGAAUCUUCGGCAAUGGACGAAAGGCUGACCGAGCAACGCCGCGUGAGUGAAGAAGGUUUUCGGAUCGUAAAACUCUGUUGGUAGAGAAGAACGUUGGUGAGAGUGGAAAGCUCAUCAAGUGACGGUAACUACCCAGAAAGGGACGGCUAACUACGUG
This 497-nucleotide ribosomal RNA is filed under the name uncultured bacterium. Its description in RNAcentral is "partial 16S ribosomal RNA". It matches the Rfam family "Bacterial small subunit ribosomal RNA", at positions 28 to 507 of the family's 1533-position model. The record is from RNAcentral.